UGAAAGGCGAAACGUAAUGUGAAUCGCAACUAACAGUGAAUCAUCGAAUCUUUGAACGCAGGCCGCACCUUACAAUAUCACUCUGUGUUAUUGCAAGGUAUCUACGUAUGAGUGUCAGCCCAAUAUCCUUUUGGUUUAAGAGGUAAAAAAUUAUUUUUUUAAAAUAUUUUAAACUCUUAAAUACAUAUAUAUAAUACUUUUGUGUAUAUGUCUGGCCUCAUAUGUGGAAGGUUACCCGCUGGAUUUAA
Molecule: unclassified non-coding RNA, 248 nt
Filed under: uncultured fungus
Lineage: Eukaryota; Fungi
Description: sequence contains ITS1
Rfam family: 5.8S ribosomal RNA (bases 1-117)
Source: RNAcentral